This is a non-coding RNA of Rhamnusium bicolor, 81 nucleotides long. The record is from the annotation of a GenBank genome assembly. Lineage: Eukaryota; Metazoa; Arthropoda; Insecta; Coleoptera; Cerambycidae.
GUUAAGUCCAGAUAUAUCUCAGUGGUCAGAGUGUUAGACUCGUCAUUUGAAGGCCCGGUUUCGAAUCCCGUACUUUUAACU